GGUUCGAUUCUGGCUCAGAUUGAACGCCAAGGGAUGCUUUACACAUGCAAGUCGAACGGCAGCGCGGACUUCGGUCUAGUGGCGAGUGGCGAACGGUGAGUAAUGUAUCGGAACGUGCCUAGUAGCGGGGGAUAACUACGCGAAAGCGUAGCGAUAAUGCACAUUGCCUUCGGGGGAAAGUGGGACCUUCGGGCCUCGCACUAUUAGAGCGGCUUUGAUAUCGAUUAGCUUAGGUUGGUGGGUAAUACCACCAAGGCGACGAUCCGUAGCUGGUUUGAGAGGACGACCAGCCACACUGGGACCAGACACGGCCCAGACUCCUACGGGAGGCAGCAGGGGAAUUUUACAAUGGGGAAACCCUGAUCCAGCCAUCCCGCGUGUGCGAUGAAGGCCUUCGGGCUUGUAAAAGCACCCUGGCAGGAGGAAACGGCACGUGAUAUACCUCGCAACUGACGGUACCGUGAAUAAGCGGCCUGGCUAACUACGUACAGCAGCCGCGGUAAUACGUAGGGUAAAGCGUUAAUCGGAAUUACUGGGCGUAAAGCGUGCGCAGGCGGUUCGGAAAGAAAGGGGAAACUCAGUGUUUUAACUUUGGAACUGCAUUUAACUACCGAGCUAGAGGUGUCAGAGGGAGGUGAAUUCCGCGUAGCAGGAAUGCGUAGAUAUGGAGGAAUACCGAUGGCGAAGGCAACCUCCUGGGAUAACACUGACGCUCAUGCACGAAAGCGUGGGGAUGUACCAGACUAGAUACCCUGGUGUCCACGCCCUAAACGAUGUCAACUAGCUGUUGGGGCCUUCGGGCUUUGGUAGCGCAGCUUAACGCGUGAAGUUGACCGCCUGGGGAGUACGGUCGCAAGAUUAAACCCAAAGGACUGACGGGACCUGGCAAGCGGUGGAUGAUGUGGAUUAAUCUGAUGCAACGCGAAAAACCUUACCUACCUCAUGUCUUGGAACUUGGUGAGAUUUGGGAGUGCUCGCAAGAGAACCGGAACACAGGUGCUGCAUGGCUGUCGUCAGCUCGCCUUCACGAGAUGUUGGCCAAGUCCUGCAACGAGCACAACUCCUUGUCAUUAGUUGCUACGAAAGGGCACUCUAUCGAGACCGCCGGUGACAACCGUGGGAGGAAGGGGGGGAUGACGUCAAGUCCUCAUGGCCCUUAUGGGCAGGGCUUCGCACGUCAUACAGUGGCCGACAGAGGGUCGCCAACCCGCGAGGGGGAGCCAAUCCCAGAAACCGAUCAGAACUGGAUCGCAGUCUGCAACUUCCGACUGCGUGAAGUCGGAAUCGCUAGUAAUCGCGGAUCAGCAUGUCGCGGUGAAUACGUUCCCGGGUCUUGUACAUAUCUGCCCGUCACACCAUGGGAGUGGGUUUUACCAGAAGUAGUUAGCCUAACCGUAAGGAGGGCGAUUACCACGUGGUAGGAUCUAUAAUCGUGGAAGUCGUAACAAGGUAA
Molecule: ribosomal RNA, 1453 nt
Filed under: uncultured Bordetella sp.
Lineage: Bacteria; Pseudomonadati; Pseudomonadota; Betaproteobacteria; Burkholderiales; Alcaligenaceae
Description: partial 16S-23S ribosomal RNA intergenic spacer
Rfam family: Bacterial small subunit ribosomal RNA
Source: RNAcentral